RNAcentral lists this ribosomal RNA (469 nucleotides) under uncultured bacterium. Its description in RNAcentral is "bacterial SSU rRNA". It matches the Rfam family "Bacterial small subunit ribosomal RNA", at positions 28 to 486 of the family's 1533-position model. The record is from RNAcentral.
GACGAACGCUGGCGGCGUGCCUAAUACAUGCAAGUCGAGCGGAUUGUUCCUUCGGGAACAGUUAGCGGCGGACGGGUGAGUAACACGUAGGCAACCUGCCUGUAGGAUCGGGAUAACUACCGGAAACGGUAGCUAAGACCGGAUAGCUGAUACUGACGCAUGUCGGAAUCAAGAAACACGGAGCAAUCUGUGACCUAUAGAUGGGCCUGCGGCGCAUUAGCUAGUUGGAAGGGUAACGGCCUCCCAAGGCGACGAUGCGUAGCCGACCUGAGAGGGUGAUCGGCCACACUGGGACUGAGACACGGCCCAGACUCCUACGGGAGGCAGCAGUAGGGAAUCUUCCGCAAUGGACGCAAGUCUGACGGAGCAACGCCGCGUGAGUGAUGAAGGUUUUCGGAUCGUAAAGCUCUGUUGCCAGGGACGAACGGCCAGGAGAGUAACUGCUCCUGGAUUGACGGUACCUGAGAAG